GUGUAGCAAUGCUCUAGAUCAAGGGUGAGUAAGACUUUUCUCUAAAGCUUUGCAGAUAGUAAAUAUUUUAGGCUUUUCAAGUCAGAUGAUCUGUGUAACCAUUCAACCCUGCCAUUGUAAUGCUUAAACCAGUGUGUAAAUGAAUGAGUAUGACUGUGUUCAAAUAAACUUUACAAAAACUGAGGGGAACCAGAUUUGACCAUCAGGCUGUAGUUUAUUCUCCCUUCAUCUAGAUACCCUUUAAGUCCUCCUCAGUGGACCACUAAAUGUUAUCAUUGCAUUUAGCUGCAGUUAACAUAAUGUACCUAUAGUGAUUUAAUCAUAAGAGUUUAUUUUCUCUUUUGUGACAAAACUAGUUAUAAGAAAUUGCUGUUGUUCUAACUAUUUAAGGUGAUUAGGACCAGGUGAAGGCUCUGUGUUUCUCUGUGAUUCUCUUGCCCUUUUCCUUAUGGUCUGCAACUACAGUCAUCAUGUCGCAAUCUAGACAGGAAGGAGAAAAGGCCUAAAGGGCUAACCUCCUAGCUGAGUCAGCCGCUUGCUUAAAACUGCUUUCCUUGCAUCUAUAUUUGCUUACAUUUCAUUGGACACAAAUCCCAGCCCAGUGACUUUGAACAAUACUAUUAAUUCUUGGAGCCUGAAGUUUUUCAUUUGAAGGAUGGUUAUCUACUUAACUGGCAUCAUUAAACAGGUUAGAAAUGAUGAAUAUGAUAUGCCUAGCUAAGAGCCUAGUCUUCAGUACAUUGUAAC
RNAcentral lists this long non-coding RNA (747 nucleotides) under Homo sapiens (human). RNAcentral describes it as "HSALNT0250452". The record is from RNAcentral. Lineage: Eukaryota; Metazoa; Chordata; Mammalia; Primates; Hominidae.